AGUUGCCAUGGAGACAAGCCUAUAAUAUGGGCCACAAGCCUAAAAUACUUACAAUCUGGCCGUUUCCAGUAAAAGGUUGCUGGCCCCUGGUCUCAUCCAACUGCUUGAUAGAUGAGGACAUUAAUGCUGAGUGAACUGACUUGGCCAAGGUCCUGGUUCUUAAAGACAAGGCUUCUCGACAUGUGGAACUCACUGCCACCAUACUGCCUCAUGUUCCACGUAAGAGCAUGAAACUGUGAUGAACAUUAAGAGGAGCUGCUUCAUCUCCUGCAGUGGGAUGUUGUCUGAUGGCUCCAACAUUGUCCCUCUGCACGUUGUACCAAGGCCAGAUUUCUCAUGUUCUCUUCCCAGCCAAUGAUUGAACAUGGUGGCGUUCCUGCAGGACCUGGGUCUCCUCAACCAGGAGAUGCUGCCUCAAGAACUCCCCAGAAGCCUGGCUGAAACUUUCUUGGAAUAAGGCUACAGUCUGAGACUCUUCCUACUUAAUCCUCCUUCACAGGGGUCAGACCUACAUCAUGGUCUGAUGGUUUUCCCAGCGUUGUUGGCUUCUUCCUUCUUCUCCUUCACAGGCAGUGCCCUCAAUAAAUGCUUUGCUCAUCUAA
Molecule: long non-coding RNA, 602 nt
Filed under: Homo sapiens (human)
Lineage: Eukaryota; Metazoa; Chordata; Mammalia; Primates; Hominidae
Description: long independently transcribed non-coding RNA 2845 (LINC02845)
Source: RNAcentral